Salmo salar (Atlantic salmon) is the source of this 445-nucleotide long non-coding RNA. RefSeq lists it as uncharacterized. Lineage: Eukaryota; Metazoa; Chordata; Actinopteri; Salmoniformes; Salmonidae. The record is from RefSeq and is a predicted model, not a curated record.
CUUGAUCUAGCAAGCUAGCCACUUAGAAAGUUAGCAAAUCAUAUAGCUGGAACCCUGAACUCGAGAUAACUAUCUAAGGUGUGGCAAAUACAUUUACUUAUAGUUAUAAGCAAUGGCGUAGCACUCACACCUGAGCUUUAGGGCGCCCCUCUUGCAUGCGUGUUGAUUUUUGUUUUGGUUGCACUGGCAUCUACUUCUACACAUGGCCACGGCUGUGUCGCAUAGAAACUAUGUCGGUAGUCAUGUCAUCUUACCAUCCAAAGGGAAUGUAUGCAGCCAGCUAUACACUCGUAUCCUCCGUGGACCGAUUUUUUGAGAACCACCUGCAACUGAACACGGACAUGUGAAAUACGUUUCUUCCCAAUAGAGAACGAAGAAAGUAUCGGCAAGAACAGGACCUGAGCCCUAGGACCAUGCCUCAGGACUACCUGGCUUGAUGACUCCU